Hemiscyllium ocellatum (epaulette shark) is the source of this 405-nucleotide long non-coding RNA. RefSeq lists it as uncharacterized. The record is from RefSeq and is a predicted model, not a curated record. Lineage: Eukaryota; Metazoa; Chordata; Chondrichthyes; Orectolobiformes; Hemiscylliidae. The transcript is spliced from 3 exons.
GUGAUACUGUCAGCUCAGUAACCUUUGCAUGGUCAGGAAGGAGAGAUCACAUUCAGAGUGAGACACAGACUGACCCUUGCUUGGAUUGCUAACUCUCAAAUCCCUCCAAGACUCCAGACUUUGUGGAAGCAGGACAAUCAUUAUAUUUUCAUCAAAACAUCCUAUACGCAAGCUAUUGACACGAUUGAUAGCAUGUUGUAAUAAAAAGCCCAUCGCUAUGGUGAUAGAGAACAAGGUCCAAGAAGCUCAACGAUGUCUUGUUCAAAGUAACCAAGUUGACUUUCAACCACCUUAAACAUUCAGUAUUCGUACCAUUGCUGACCAGAGAGAGCAGUGUCAUCAUCUAGAGCAACCCACCAAUGCUCCUUUAACCAAACCUUUAUAAAAAUUUACUUUUAUUUGGAA